Molecule: long non-coding RNA, 849 nt
Filed under: Homo sapiens (human)
Lineage: Eukaryota; Metazoa; Chordata; Mammalia; Primates; Hominidae
Description: HSALNT0366622
Source: RNAcentral
GAGUACAAUCUAAAGAGUUUACUUGAGCCAAAGUGAGUGGUGAGCCCUCUUGGGAAUGUUGGCAGGAGAAGAUGACUCCACACAUGGGCUGAACUGCAAAUGGAGUGCAUCAGAUGACCACCACCUCCCUAGAGCAGAUCACCCGUGGGCCAGCAGAAGCCCCAGACCUCAGCCAUCUUGGAGGAAUUAUGAGGUGUAUGAGAUCCAGAGUUCCGUCAGUCUCUCCCCAGCCACAGGCCGUAUAAUCCCCUCAUCCUUUUGGGGUCCCAGGAAGUCCUUCUUCUGGACCCAGAGUCCACCCACUUUAGAGUUGGUCCUGGGAUCUGUCAUCCUGCUCAGAAUCUGGGAGGAAGUGUUUAUACCUAGAGGAGGCCAGGAGGGCAUUGCAUCUCCCACUCUGUGGGCGUGCCUUGCUUUCGAUGUCUCCAGUGAGGAUCUGACUCCCUGGAUAGAAUGGAGUUGAGGCCCAGGGGUUGGCAUCUGCUUUGUUUGUUAAAAUAUGCUAGUCAUCUAUAAAAGUGCCUGCACAAAGUAAAUGCUUAACAUAUGUGUGUUUAGUGAAUGAACACCAACCAGAACCUUCCUAGAUAACUGAGCGUGCCUGGGGCCUCUCUUCUAGCACGCAGGGACUUGUAUUCAUAGACUGUAUAAAGAGCAUUAUCCCAGCAAAUCCUCAAAAACACACCCUCAUUUUAGAAAUGAGCAAACACAGGCUUUUGGAUGUAAGAAGGCAGCUCCAAAACUGCUCACGGGAACUACUGUGUGACUUUCCCUCUCAACUCCCCGAGGCUUGGUCUGCGCUGACACGGAGGAAAAGGACCUGGGGAGGCCUUGUUUCCUCCUCUGUUU